Molecule: ribosomal RNA, 422 nt
Filed under: uncultured bacterium
Lineage: Bacteria
Description: bacterial SSU rRNA
Rfam family: Bacterial small subunit ribosomal RNA
Source: RNAcentral
UGGGGAAUAUUGGUCAAUGGACGCAAGUCUGAACCAGCCAUGCCGCGUGGAGGAUGAAGGUCCUCUGGAUUGUAAACUUCUUUUAUCUGGGACGAAACACUUCUUUUCUAAGAGGCCUGACGGUACCAGAUGAAUAAGCACCGGCUAACUCCGUGCCAGCAGCCGCGGUAAUACGGAGGGUGCAAGCGUUAUCCGGAUUCACUGGGUUUAAAGGGUGCGUAGGUGGGUAUGUAAGUCAGUGGUGAAAUCCCCGAGCUUAACUUGGGAACUGCCAUUGAUACUAUAUAUCUUGAAUACCGUAGAGGUAAGCGGAAUAUGUCAUGUAGCGGUGAAAUGCUUAGAUAUGACAUGGAACACCAAUUGUGAAGGCAGCUUACUAUGCGGUGAUUGACACUGAGGCACGAAAGCGUGGGUAGCAAACA